GCAAUUAAUGUAACUUGUUGGCAAUUGUUUUACAAAGUUUCAUUUGCUAUCCAUAAAAAAUAUAUAUAAUAUUAAAAAAAAUGUUAGUAUUCUUACAAAUUAUGAUUAUACCUAUAAAUAUCAACACUUAUUUUACCUUUUAAAGAUAGCUUAUACCGUCUCCAAGAAGGUGUGAACUCUUAUUUAUGAAUAGUGAGGUCUAUGAUUCAGAUUUCACCGCUCCCCCUAAAUCAUUAAAAAAAAAAAAGCUUAUAUUUCUUUAAAAUUCCAAUAAUAAUUAUCUAUGUUUUCCAUAUAUAUUUAAUGUUUUAAUCCAAACUUCCACCUGCAUAGCACAUACCAUCCUACAGUUAUAAACAUGAGGUGAAACGAUAUGGUGUCCUUUCGAUCCUCAAAACAGCAAUCGAAGGGGAUAGGCCUUUUGACGCAAUAAACUGACAUCCAAAACACUUUUGUUUAUUUUAUCAUAAUUAAUUGUAAAUAUUAUAGGAUGUUUGUUUUAUAAAAUAUUAAUAGUUUAAUACUCCAUCUCCUGAUUCAAAAAAAACCAAAAAAAAAAAAAAAACAGUUUAAUACUUCAUCCGUCUCAUUAUUUAUGGCACAUACCUUUUCGACACGGAGAUUAAAGAAAGUAAGAUUGUAGUGUAAAAGUGUGUAAUAGUCUGUGGGUCCAUGUGAUUUGUAGUGUAAAAUUAUUACCAAAAAUAAAGAUGAGUCAUUUAACUUAGAAGACCCCAAAAUGGAAUGUGUGUCAUUAACGCUCUGGCUCCUUACAAGGCGAGAGUUACAG
Molecule: long non-coding RNA, 790 nt
Filed under: Salvia miltiorrhiza (redroot sage)
Lineage: Eukaryota; Viridiplantae; Streptophyta; Magnoliopsida; Lamiales; Lamiaceae
Description: long non-coding RNA (SMIL_LNC012073)
Source: RNAcentral